UCCCUGGUAGUCCGGUGGUUAGGACUCUGUGCUUUCACUGCCAUGGUGUGGGUUCAAUCCCUGCUCAGGGAA
This 72-nucleotide transfer RNA is filed under the name Ovis aries (sheep). It matches the Rfam family "tRNA". From Rfam's summary of the family: Transfer RNA (tRNA) molecules are approximately 80 nucleotides in length. Their secondary structure includes four short double-helical elements and three loops (D, anti-codon, and T loops). Further hydrogen bonds mediate the characteristic L-shaped molecular structure. tRNAs have two regions of fundamental functional importance: the anti-codon, which is responsible for specific mRNA codon recognition, and the 3' end, to which the tRNAs corresponding amino acid is attached (by aminoacyl-tRNA synthetases). tRNAs cope with the degeneracy of the genetic code in two manners: having more than one tRNA (with a specific anti-codon) for a particular amino acid; and 'wobble' base-pairing, i.e. permitting non-standard base-pairing at the 3rd anti-codon position. Lineage: Eukaryota; Metazoa; Chordata; Mammalia; Artiodactyla; Bovidae. The record is from Rfam by way of RNAcentral.